UCGUGCUAGGCGGGGAGCUAGCGGUGCCCUGUACCCGCAAGCCGCUUUAGCGGGGCCGAAUUCCCGCUCGAGGUCGGGCGCCGCGAGGACUGGCCGCGCCGGGUGGCGUUGAUGGCCUGGUCCUGCGCGGCGAGGCGCUGUGAACCCCGUCAGGUCCGGAAGGAAGCAGCGGUAAGCAGUUGCUCUCGGGUGCCGCAGGGGCGCCUGGCCGGAGCGACCGGCUGAGGAAGCGCUCGAGUCUCCCGCGGUCAACGGCGGGUGCGCGG
RNAcentral lists this signal recognition particle RNA (266 nucleotides) under Chloroflexota bacterium. RNAcentral describes it as "Chloroflexi bacterium (groundwater metagenome) signal recognition particle sRNA large type". It matches the Rfam family "Bacterial large signal recognition particle RNA". From Rfam's summary of the family: The signal recognition particle (SRP) is a universally conserved ribonucleoprotein involved in the co-translational targeting of proteins to membranes. Archaeal SRP consists of a 7S RNA and homologues of the eukaryotic SRP19 and SRP54 proteins. Lineage: Bacteria; Bacillati; Chloroflexota. The record is from RNAcentral.